Long non-coding RNA from Eubalaena glacialis (North Atlantic right whale), 249 nucleotides. RefSeq lists it as uncharacterized. The transcript is spliced from 3 exons. Lineage: Eukaryota; Metazoa; Chordata; Mammalia; Artiodactyla; Balaenidae. The record is from RefSeq and is a predicted model, not a curated record.
AGAAACUGAGGUCCAAAGGUGAAUUGUCCAGUUGGAAGGAAGAAAAUUAGGAUGUGAACCCAAGUUGGCCUGAUUUCCAGGGCUGCAUUCUUUCCACCAAGUAGCAGCUAUUCCUCCAGGGGUAUUCAGAGGACUGAUUGGAGAAAAAUUCAGACAAGGUCUGAGAACCGAGCACCACAAGGAGCAGGGAACGUUUUUGCCGGUUACUGGAACACUAGCUGCUGAGAUCAGCAAAGGAGAAAUCUCCCA